GGGAAAUCAGUCUUUUGUCUGUUCAGUAAGUGUGUGCCGGAGUGGAAAGAUCCAGGAAUCAGCCAGCUAACAUUUCUUAAAAGUAGUUGGAAUCUGCACUCACUAAGGAGUGAAGUUGUCUCUGGGAUGGAGAAGGAAACCCCGUCCCUGCCUCCUGAAGACACAGGUUAUGAUGAUGUGGGACAUGAUGACUCGGGGGGUUCAAUAUCAUAAGAAUUUGAUUGGACAAAAUAAUCGUGUGAUGAUGUAAAUGUUUUGCCUCUUUCUCUCAGAAAUGAUGGUCUAGAGACAGUCCCUGCCUGGUAGAUAGACAAAGCAGGUGUAUUAAUAGGAUUUGUGUGAAGUUGCAGGAAAUACAAGAGUGAGUGGGAAAAGGUUCAUAAGCUUUCUUUGUAUAAUUUUCCAUUGUUUGGAGGGGGUGGAAGUUUCCUGCUUUUUUAUGUCUAUAAUUUCUUCAGCUUGACUUUGUGACUUUUUCAUAUUAAAUCCUUUCUGAAAGUC
This is a non-coding RNA of Chrysemys picta bellii (western painted turtle), 501 nucleotides long. The record is from RefSeq and is a predicted model, not a curated record. NCBI's taxonomy places the organism in Eukaryota, Metazoa, Chordata, Testudines, Emydidae.